Molecule: long non-coding RNA, 528 nt
Organism: Sebastes umbrosus (honeycomb rockfish)
Lineage: Eukaryota; Metazoa; Chordata; Actinopteri; Perciformes; Sebastidae
Exons: 3
Source: RefSeq, a predicted model, not a curated record
UGAACCACCAUUUGCACCAUUGGCAGCACUUUGCUUCCAUAUGCCGUGGAGUGGGCAGGCGAUGUGGGAUGCUCAGCUGGCUGCGUGGAGUGGGUCAGGGGGACAGGGUCCUUUGCCCAAGGCUAGCUGUCUUGUCUGGAUUUGCUGCUCCUUUGUGGUGCAUGGCAUUGAGAGUAUCCUGGCAAAUUACUGAAUCUGCAUCAACCAAACAAUAAGGAAAAAUACUAGAGAGGUGCAGAACAUUAUCAACUAAAGCUGGGGACGCACCGACCCGACAUCAAAGAACUAGCGCGACGAAGAACGCCUGUUGCGUCACCUCAUGUCGCCUUUGUUUUGGCCGACAAGUUGCACCCGAACACAACGCAAAGACUACAGCUGACAGCCAGUUAACACGGACGUUCAGCACCUGCAUGAAAUUAAAUAACUCUCCACACCAGCCGGCGGCAGUACUCUGUAUUUGUCAUUCAAAAAGGGGAAACCAGAAGACAGAGGACUGCAGAUAUACACGCCUGACUCAGAGAAUUAGAA